UCUACUACCCCAUUGCUAUUACCUGCAUGAUUGAAAAAACAAAAAUCUAGGAUGUUGCAACUUUGACAAUAUAAUAAUAAUAGAUUAAAGUUCACAAGUGAUGUAAUGGCAUGUGUCUGAUGCAGCGAGAAAUUAUUUCAAGCUUCAGUCAAUUGAAGGAAUUAAGGAUGGCACUAAUUUGGCACCUUCCAACCUAUCACUCGGGAAUAAAUUUCAAGAGUUGUACUUGAACUUUAGGAACUGUAACAGAAUUGUCCAUGAACUUAAAAAUGUAAUAUAAAACCUUCUGAACUUUAAAAUUUUACACGGUAAAAUCCUUCUAAUCAUCAAUAGCCAAUUUAUGUAAUUCAGAGUAACAGUAACACGAAUAAUUGUCUCUCCUCUAUGUGACAGUGGCAAAACUAGUUAUGAUUUUUUUCACAGAUUAACCACAAAAGAAUUUUAGCUAUACGAGAUAAUAAAUCACUAAAUGUAUAACUGAUUAGAGGGAUUUUCUCUUCAAAAAACAACAAAAAUCAUUCACAUUAUCACCACUUCAUAUUGUCCACAUUAGCGUGUUACUUCUAAACUGAUUAUUGAGAGCGAAAAAAAUUUUACCGUGCAAAAUUUCAAAGUUCAAGAAGUUUUAUGUUAUAUCUCUAAGUUCAGGGAUAACUCUACUACAACCCCUAAAGUUCAAGGAUGGCCAUUAAAAUUAAUCCUAUCACUCUGUCAUAGCUAAGCUAACUCAAACAGUCUCAAGUGCAAUAUAGGCUUAUAGAGUCAUUAGAGAGAUGGUUCCAAUUGUUAGUAAUUACUAUUUUAGAUUGAGUUCUUUUAACUCUAAUAGAUUUUAGUCAUCUACAAGUCCUCUUUUCCAGCAACUUAAGUUUCAUUCUCCUCUUAGAAAUCUGUGAUUAGGUAGCAUAAGUUUACCAAUAUUUUGUGUCUAAACAUCACUUUUAAUAAAAAAAUUUCCCCACACCCCGGAAUAAAACCUCGGCUUCACUCUAAUUUCAGUCCUACCCUUUAUGCUUAAGUGCAGUUGAUUUAUGCUAUUUUUAUAGAAAUCACAUUACAACUUCACAAAACGUAAUAUUUUCUUGAAGACAACGAGAUUUAAUACAAUCACGGAAAUUAUCUAUACUCUUUCUUCCUCGACCAUUAUGACUUUUGCUUUGCUUGCUAAUUAAAUAGCACGCAAAUAUUAAACUUAAGCUACAGAUAGUCAAUGGAGAAAUGCAUAUGUACCAAUAAAGAGAGCAUAAAAAGAACAUGAGUAAGUACCAGUGAGAAGUGUGAGCUUACCUCGCUCAUCGUCAUAUUCAGCUAAUGGCUUUACU
This 1322-nucleotide unclassified non-coding RNA is filed under the name Hevea brasiliensis (rubber tree). The record is from RNAcentral. Lineage: Eukaryota; Viridiplantae; Streptophyta; Magnoliopsida; Malpighiales; Euphorbiaceae.